Molecule: transfer RNA, 73 nt
Filed under: Solirubrobacterales bacterium
Lineage: Bacteria; Bacillati; Actinomycetota; Thermoleophilia; Solirubrobacterales
Description: tRNA-Arg
Rfam family: tRNA
About the family: Transfer RNA (tRNA) molecules are approximately 80 nucleotides in length. Their secondary structure includes four short double-helical elements and three loops (D, anti-codon, and T loops).
Source: RNAcentral
GCCCCCGUAGCUCAGUGGACAGAGCACCGGACUUCUAAUCCGACGGCCGUUGGUUCGAAUCCAACCGGGGGCG